RNAcentral lists this ribosomal RNA (392 nucleotides) under uncultured bacterium. RNAcentral describes it as "partial 16S ribosomal RNA". It matches the Rfam family "Bacterial small subunit ribosomal RNA", at positions 523 to 918 of the family's 1533-position model. The record is from RNAcentral.
AUACGGAGGAUCCGAGCGUUAUCCGGAUUUAUUGGGUUUAAAGGGUGCGCAGGCGGCCAUUUAAGUCAGCGGUUAAAUCGUGGGGCUCAACCCCAUUCUGCCGUUGAUACUGGGUGGCUUGAUUGCGGUCGAGGUUGGCGGAAUUCGUUGUGUAGCGGUGAAAUGCAUAGAUAUGACGAAGAACACCGAUUGCGCAGGCAGCUGACCAGACCGCAAAUGACGCUCAUGCACGAAAGUGCGGGGAUCGAACAGGAUUAGAUACCCUGGUAGUCCGCACAGUAAACGAUGAAUACUUGUUUUCGGCGAUAUAAUGUCGGAGGCAAAGCGAAAGCGAUAAGUAUUCCACCUGGGGAGUACGCCGGCAACGGUGAAACUCAAAUGAAUUGACGGGG